CCUACGGGAGGCAGCAGUGGGGAAUAUUGCACAAUGGGCGCAAGCCUGAUGCAGCAACGCCGCGUGAGGGACGACGGCCUUCGGGUUGUAAACCUCUUUUAGUAGGGAAGAAGCGAAAGUGACGGUACCUGCAGAAAAAGCACCGGCUAACUACGUGCCAGCAGCCGCGGUAAUACGUAGGGUGCAAGCGUUAUCCGGAAUUAUUGGGCGUAAAGAGCUCGUAGGCGGUUUGUCGCGUCUGCUGUGAAAACUGGAGGCUCAACCUCCAGCCUGCAGUGGGUACGGGCAGACUAGAGUGCGGUAGGGGAGAUUGGAAUUCCUGGUGUAGCGGUGGAAUGCGCAGAUAUCAGGAGGAACACCGAUGGCGAAGGCAGAUCUCUGGGCCGUAACUGACGCUGAGGAGCGAAAGCAUGGGGAGCGAACAGGAUUAGAUACCCUGGUAGUCCAUGCCGUAAACGUUGGGAACUAGAUGUAGGGACCAUUCCACGGUUUCUGUGUCGCAGCUAACGCAUUAAGUUCCCCGCCUGGGGAGUCGGCCGCAGGCUAAAACUCAAAUGAAUUGACGGCNGAGAGUGCGACGGCGACGACGAGGGAGGAGG
This 599-nucleotide ribosomal RNA is filed under the name uncultured bacterium. Its description in RNAcentral is "bacterial SSU rRNA". It matches the Rfam family "Bacterial small subunit ribosomal RNA", at positions 338 to 951 of the family's 1533-position model. The record is from RNAcentral.